GGUAAGUUUAAUUUGAAUGGUCAUCUUAUUUAAUGCAGAUGCACGCAAUAAUGAAAAUCCAUUUUUUAUGCAUCAGGAAAGCUGAAUGGCAGAAAUAAAUAUGCCCGCUUGUCUGCUUGUACGUUUUCAGUUUCUUGUUAGCUGGAGGGAGAAUACUGUUAAAGGCAAUGGGUAUCUGGCAGUAAUCUACGUGGGUAUGUAUGAUGGAUUGGAAACUGUCUUAGCCAGUGGCUGAAUGGCGAAAAGAAAAACUGAGAUCAAAAGUUCCAUGUCCUCGUACUGGACAAGUUGGCCCAAGUGUGGACAAUGAAUUUAGAAGGAGCCGCCUAGGUUAAACCAUUCUUAAAUCCCAAAAUUUAUCCCAGUUAUAUGAACCUAUUGGUAUUCGUAGGGAAGAGCUUGCAUCAAUUAAAAUCAAAUUGAGAUUAAAACCUUUUAUCUGGUUCUGAAUCCUUAAUAUUGAAUUUUGAAUCUAAUUACAGCCGAAA
Molecule: long non-coding RNA, 488 nt
Organism: Hevea brasiliensis (rubber tree)
Lineage: Eukaryota; Viridiplantae; Streptophyta; Magnoliopsida; Malpighiales; Euphorbiaceae
Exons: 2
Source: RefSeq, a predicted model, not a curated record